ACCUGAACCAGAUAGGAGCAGGCAUCCCGAUGUAAAAUCGGGAUAAAGCGGAUAGCUCCAAAGGAG
RNAcentral lists this unclassified non-coding RNA (66 nucleotides) under Pedobacter soli. Its description in RNAcentral is "Flavo-1 RNA". The record is from RNAcentral. Lineage: Bacteria; Pseudomonadati; Bacteroidota; Sphingobacteriia; Sphingobacteriales; Sphingobacteriaceae.